RNAcentral lists this small nucleolar RNA (76 nucleotides) under Cercocebus atys (sooty mangabey). RNAcentral's name for it is "Small nucleolar RNA SNORD66 (ENSCATG00000018426.1)". It matches the Rfam family "Small nucleolar RNA SNORD66". Rfam says of the family: snoRNA HBII-142 is part of the C/D family of snoRNAs. It is the human orthologue of the mouse MBII-142 snoRNA and is predicted to guide 2'O-ribose methylation of small 18S rRNA at residue C1272. The record is from Rfam by way of RNAcentral. Lineage: Eukaryota; Metazoa; Chordata; Mammalia; Primates; Cercopithecidae.
GUCCUCUGAUCGACUUGUCGUUAGUGCCACCUGUCUGGUGGCCGGAACCCAUGAUGGAACCGAGGAUCUGAAGGGC